This 368-nucleotide ribosomal RNA is filed under the name uncultured archaeon. RNAcentral describes it as "bacterial SSU rRNA". It matches the Rfam family "Archaeal small subunit ribosomal RNA", at positions 982 to 1352 of the family's 1478-position model. The record is from RNAcentral.
GAGAGGUGGUGCAUGGCCGUCGUCAGUUCGUACUGUAAAGCGUUCUGUUAAGUCAGAUAACGAACGAGACCCUCAUCUCUAUUUGCUACCCGUCUCUCCGGAGGCGGCGCACUAUAGGGAGACCGCUGGUGUUAAACCAGAGGAAGGCGAGGGCAACGACAGGUCAGUAUGCCCCGAAUGUCCUGGGCUACACGCGCGCUACAAAGGACGGGACAAUGGGAAGCCAGGCCGAGAGGCCGAGCUAACCCGAAACCCGUUCAUAGUUCGGAUCGAGGGCUGUAACUCGCCCUCGUGAAGCUGGAUUCCGUAGUAAUCGUGUUUCAAUAUAGCACGGUGAAUAUGCCCCUGCUCCUUGCACACACCGCCCG